GACGAACGCUGGCGGCGUGCUUAACACAUGCAAGUCGAACGGAAAGGCCCUGCUUUUGUGGGGUGCUCGAGUGGCGAACGGGUGAGUAACACGUGAGUAACCUGCCCUUGACUUUGGGAUAACUUCAGGAAACUGGGGCUAAUACCGGAUAGGAGCUCCUGCUGCAUGGUGGGGGUUGGAAAGUUUCGGCGGUUGGGGAUGGACUCGCGGGUUAUCAGCUUGUUGGUGGGGUAGUGGCUUACCAAGGCUUUGAAGGGUAGCCGGCCUGAGAGGGUGACCGGCCACAUUGGGACUGAGAUACGGCCCAGACUCCUACGGGAGGCAGCAGUGGGGAAUAUUGCACAAUGGGCGGAAGCCUGAUGCAGCAACGCUGCGUGCGGGAUGACGGCCUUCGGGUUGUAAACCGCUUUCGCCUGUGACGAAGCGUGAGUGACGGUAAUGGGUAAAGAAGCACCGGCUAACUACGUG
Molecule: ribosomal RNA, 468 nt
Filed under: uncultured bacterium
Lineage: Bacteria
Description: partial 16S ribosomal RNA
Rfam family: Bacterial small subunit ribosomal RNA
Source: RNAcentral